Molecule: ribosomal RNA, 459 nt
Filed under: uncultured bacterium
Lineage: Bacteria
Description: partial 16S ribosomal RNA
Rfam family: Bacterial small subunit ribosomal RNA
Source: RNAcentral
CCUACGGGAGGCAGCAGUGAGGAAUAUUGGUCAAUGGACGGGAGACUGAACCAGCCAAGCCGCGUGAGGGAUGAAUGUCCAGUGUAUCGUAAACUUCUUUUGUAAGGGAACAAAACCAGGCACGUGUCCCUUUUUGCGUGUACUUUAUGAAUAAGCAUCGGCUAACUCCGUGCCAGCAGCCGCGGUAAUACGGAGGAUCCGAGCGUUAUCCGGAUUUAUUGGGUUUAAAGGGUGCGCAGGUGGUCUGUUAAGUCAGCGGUAAAAAUUCGGGGCUCAACCCGGUAGUGACGUUGAGACUGAUGGGCUUGAGUGCGCGAGAAGUAUGCGGAAUGCGUGGUGUAGCGGUGAAAUGCAUAGAUAUCACGAAGAACUCCGAUUGCGAAGGCAACAUACCGGAGUGCAACUGACGCUGAGGCACGAAAGCGUGGGUAUCGAACAGGAUUAGAUACCCUUGUAGUC